UGGGGAAUCUUCCACAAUGGACGCAAGUCUGAUGGAGCAACGCCGCGUGAGUGAAGAAGGUCUUCGGAUCGUAAAGCUCUGUUGUUGGUGAAGAAGGAUAGAGGCAGUAACUGGUCUUUAUUUGACGGUAAUCAACCAGAAAGUCACGGCUAACUACGUGCCAGCAGCCGCGGUAAUACGUAGGUGGCAAGCGUUGUCCGGAUUUAUUGGGCGUAAAGCGAGCGCAGGCGGAAUGAUAAGUCUGAUGUGAAAGCCCACGGCUCAACCGUGGAACUGCAUCGGAAACUGUCAUUCUUGAGUGCAGAAGAGGAGAGUGGAACUCCAUGUGUAGCGGUGGAAUGCGUAGAUAUAUGGAAGAACACCAGUGGCGAAGGCGGCUCUCUGGUCUGCAACUGACGCUGAGGCUCGAAAGCAUGGGUAGCGAACAGGAUUAGAUACCCUGGUAGUCCAUGCCGUAAACGAUGAGCGCUAGGUGUUGGGGACUUUCCGGUCCUCAGUGCCGCAGCAAACGCAUUAAGCGCUCCGCCUGGGGAGUACGACCGCAAGGUUGAAAC
Molecule: ribosomal RNA, 554 nt
Filed under: uncultured bacterium
Lineage: Bacteria
Description: partial 16S ribosomal RNA
Rfam family: Bacterial small subunit ribosomal RNA
Source: RNAcentral